GCCUUCGUGGUGCAGCGGUUAGCACGCUUGACGCGUAACCGAGAGAUCCGUGGUUCGAUUCCCGACAAAGGCU
This 73-nucleotide transfer RNA is filed under the name Stegodyphus mimosarum. It matches the Rfam family "tRNA". Rfam says of the family: Transfer RNA (tRNA) molecules are approximately 80 nucleotides in length. Their secondary structure includes four short double-helical elements and three loops (D, anti-codon, and T loops). Lineage: Eukaryota; Metazoa; Arthropoda; Arachnida; Araneae; Eresidae. The record is from Rfam by way of RNAcentral.